UGGGGAAUAUUGGACAAUGGGCGCAAGCCUGAUCCAGCCAUGCCGCGUGAGUGAUGAAGGCCCUAGGGUUGUAAAGCUCUUUCACCGGUGAAGAUAAUGACGGUAACCGGAGAAGAAGCCCCGGCUAACUUCGUGCCAGCAGCCGCGGUAAUACGAAGGGGGCUAGCGUUGUUCGGAUUUACUGGGCGUAAAGCGCACGUAGGCGGACUAUUAAGUCAGGGGUGAAAUCCCGGGGCUCAACCCCGGAACUGCCUUUGAUACUGGUAGUCUUGAGUUCGAGAGAGGUGAGUGGAAUUCCGAGUGUAGAGGUGAAAUUCGUAGAUAUUCGGAGGAACACCAGUGGCGAAGGCGGCUCACUGGCUCGAUACUGACGCUGAGGUGCAAAAGCGUGGGGAGCAAACAGG
RNAcentral lists this ribosomal RNA (404 nucleotides) under Actinomycetes bacterium. Its description in RNAcentral is "Actinobacteria bacterium partial 16S ribosomal RNA". It matches the Rfam family "Bacterial small subunit ribosomal RNA", at positions 355 to 776 of the family's 1533-position model. Lineage: Bacteria; Bacillati; Actinomycetota; Actinomycetes. The record is from RNAcentral.